GACGAACGCUGGCGGCGUGCUUAACACAUGCAAGUCGAACGGAAAGGCCCUGCUUGCAGGGUGCUCGAGUGGCGAACGGGUGAGUAACACGUGGGUGAUCUGCCCCUUACUUUGGGAUAAGCCUGGGAAACUGGGUCUAAUACUGGAUAGGACCAUGCUGUAGGUGGUGUGGUGGAAAGAUUAGUUUCGGUAAGGGAUGAGCUCGCGGCCUUUCAGCUUGUUGGUGGGGUAAUGGCCUACCAAGGCGUCGACGGGUAGCCGGCCUGAGAGGGUGGACGGCCACAUUGGGACUGAGAUACGGCCCAGACUCCUACGGGAGGCAGCAGUGGGGAAUAUUGCACAAUGGGCGCAAGCCUGAUGCAGCGACGCCGCGUGGGGGAUGACGGCCUUCGGGUUGUAAACUCCUUUCAGCCAUGACGAAGCCCUUGUGGUGACGGUAGUGGUAGAAGAAGCACCGGCUAACUACGUG
This 469-nucleotide ribosomal RNA is filed under the name uncultured bacterium. RNAcentral describes it as "partial 16S ribosomal RNA". It matches the Rfam family "Bacterial small subunit ribosomal RNA", at positions 28 to 507 of the family's 1533-position model. The record is from RNAcentral.